ACUCCUACCGGUCUAAAGUUUUGAG
RNAcentral lists this non-coding RNA (25 nucleotides) under Mus musculus (house mouse). The record is from RNAcentral. Lineage: Eukaryota; Metazoa; Chordata; Mammalia; Rodentia; Muridae.